This 282-nucleotide unclassified non-coding RNA is filed under the name plant metagenome. RNAcentral's name for it is "partial contains small subunit ribosomal RNA, internal transcribed spacer 1, and 5.8S ribosomal RNA". The stretch from base 235 to 282 matches the Rfam family "5.8S ribosomal RNA", at positions 1 to 49 of the family's 154-position model. The record is from RNAcentral.
UUUCCGUAGGUGAACCUGCGGAAGGAUCAUUAUCGUAUAACCGAGGUGCGAGGGCUGUCGCUGACCCGAAAGGUCGUGCACGCCCGAGUGCCCUCACACACAUCCAUCUCACCCCUAUGUGCACCACCGCGUGGGUCCCCCUUUGGCUUGUUCGGAGGGGGGCUUACGUUUUCACACAAACUUUGUAUGCAGUGUAGAAUGUAUUUUUUGUUUUUGCGAUCACGCAAUCAAUACAACUUUCAACAACGGAUCUCUUGGCUCUCGCAUCGAUGAAGACGCAGC